RNAcentral lists this ribosomal RNA (425 nucleotides) under Glossamia aprion (mouth almighty). RNAcentral's name for it is "partial 12S ribosomal RNA". It matches the Rfam family "Bacterial small subunit ribosomal RNA", at positions 915 to 1533 of the family's 1533-position model. Lineage: Eukaryota; Metazoa; Chordata; Actinopteri; Kurtiformes; Apogonidae. The record is from RNAcentral.
GGCGCUUCACACCCACCUAGAGGAGCCUGUUCUAGAACCGAUAACCCCCGUUAAACCUCACCUUCUCUUGCCCCCCCCCCGCCUAUAUACCGCCGUCGUCAGCCCACCCUGUGAAGGCCCAGUAGUGAGCAAAACUGGCACAGCCCAAAACGUCAGGCCGAGGUGUAGCGAAUGAGAAGGGAAGAAAUGGGCUACAAUUGCUUAAACAGCUAAAACGAAUUGUUCUGCUGAAACCGCACUCAUGAAGGAGGAUUUAGAAGUAAGGGAAUAAAUAGAGUAUAUCCCUGAAAUGGUUCUGAAGCGUGCACACACCGCCCGUCACUCUCCCCAAGCUAGAUAAAUAAAUAUAAAUAAUUACCUAACACUACAAAGGGGAGGCAAGUCGUAACAUGGUAAGUGUACCGGAAGGUGCACUUGGAGUAAAU